GACGAACGCUGGCGGCGUGCUUAACACAUGCAAGUCGAACGAAGAGCGAUGGAAGCUUGCUUCUAUCAAUCUUAGUGGCGAACGGGUGAGUAACGCGUAAUCAACCUGCCCUUCAGAGGGGGACAACAGUUGGAAACGACUGCUAAUACCGCAUACGAUCUAACCUCGGCAUCGAGGAUAGAUGAAAGGUGGCCUCUACAUGUAAGCUAUCACUGAAGGAGGGGAUUGCGUCUGAUUAGCUAGUUGGAGGGGUAACGGCCCACCAAGGCGAUGAUCAGUAGCCGGUCUGAGGGGAUGAACGGCCACAUUGGGACUGAGACACGGCCCAGACUCCUACGGGAGGCAGCAGUGGGGAAUCUUCCGCAAUGGACGAAAGUCUGACGGAGCAACGCCGCGUGAGUGAUGACGGCCUUCGGGUUGUAAAGCUCUGUUAAUCGGGACGAAAGGCCUUCUUGCGAAUAGUGAGAAGGAUUGACGGUACCGGAAUAGAAAGCCACGGCUAACUACGUG
This 510-nucleotide ribosomal RNA is filed under the name uncultured bacterium. RNAcentral's name for it is "partial 16S ribosomal RNA". It matches the Rfam family "Bacterial small subunit ribosomal RNA", at positions 28 to 507 of the family's 1533-position model. The record is from RNAcentral.